AGCGGCGGACGGGUGAGUAAUGCCUAGGAAUCUGCCUAGUGGUGGGGGAUAACGUUCGGAAACGGACGCUAAUACCGCAUACGUCCUACGGGAGAAAGCGGGGGAUCUUCGGACCUCGCGCCAUUAGAUGAGCCUAGGUCGGAUUAGCUAGUUGGUGAGGUAAUGGCUCACCAAGGCGACGAUCCGUAACUGGUCUGAGAGGAUGAUCAGUCACACUGGAACUGAGACACGGUCCAGACUCCUACGGGAGGCAGCAGUGGGGAAUAUUGGACAAUGGGCGAAAGCCUGAUCCAGCCAUGCCGCGUGUGUGAAGAAGGUCUUCGGAUUGUAAAGCACUUUAAGUUGGGAGGAAGGGUAGUAACCUAAUACGUUGCUACUUUGACGUUACCGACAGAAUAA
This 399-nucleotide ribosomal RNA is filed under the name Pseudomonas sp. T4(2009). RNAcentral describes it as "bacterial SSU rRNA". It matches the Rfam family "Bacterial small subunit ribosomal RNA", at positions 94 to 489 of the family's 1533-position model. The record is from RNAcentral. Lineage: Bacteria; Pseudomonadati; Pseudomonadota; Gammaproteobacteria; Pseudomonadales; Pseudomonadaceae.